AAUCCAUAGGUUAAUGAGGCGAACCGGGGGAACUGAAACAUCUAAGUACCCCGAGGAAAAGAAAUCAACCGAGAUUCCCCCAGUAGCGGCGAGCGAACGGGGAGGAGCCCAGAGCCUGAAUCAGCAUGUGUGUUAGUGGAAGCGUCUGGAAAGGCGCGCGAUACAGGGUGACAGCCCCGUACACAAAAGCGCAUGUGCUGUGAGCUCGAUGAGUAGGGCGGGACACGUGGUAUCCUGUCUGAAUAUGGGGGGACCAUCCUCCAAGGCUAAAUACUCCUGACUGACCGAUAGUGAACCAGUACCGUGAGGGAAAGGCGAAAAGAACCCCGGCGAGGGGAGUGAAAAAGAACCUGAAACCGUGUACGUACAAGCAGUGGGAGCACCCUUUGGGGUGU
Molecule: ribosomal RNA, 395 nt
Filed under: Salmonella enterica
Lineage: Bacteria; Pseudomonadati; Pseudomonadota; Gammaproteobacteria; Enterobacterales; Enterobacteriaceae
Also listed under: 1 other name
Description: partial 23S ribosomal RNA
Rfam family: Bacterial large subunit ribosomal RNA
Source: RNAcentral